This 393-nucleotide ribosomal RNA is filed under the name uncultured bacterium. Its description in RNAcentral is "bacterial SSU rRNA". It matches the Rfam family "Bacterial small subunit ribosomal RNA", at positions 28 to 424 of the family's 1533-position model. The record is from RNAcentral.
GACGAACGCUGGCGGCGUGCUUAACACAUGCAAGUCGAGCGGUAAGGCCAUUUCGGGGGUACACGAGCGGCGAACGGGUGAGUAACACGUGGGUGACCUGCCCUCAGCUCUGGGAUAAGCCUGGGAAACCGGGUCUAAUACCGGAUAUGACUCCAUGACGCAUGUUGUGGGGUGGAAAGCCUUGUGCGGCUGAGGAUGGGCCCGCGGCCUAUCAGCUUGUUGGUGGGGUGANGGCCUACCAAGGCGACGACGGGUAGCCGGCCUGAGAGGGCGACCGGCCACACUGGGACUGAGACACGGCCCAGACUCCUACGGGAGGCAGCAGUGGGGAAUCUUGCGCAAUGGGCGAAAGCCUGACGCAGCGACGCCGCGUGAGGGAUGACGGCCUCGGUU